UGAGUUGUUGCUCAGCAGUAGAGCACUUGCCUUGUAUGUGUGAGGAACUGAGUUCAAUUCCCAGCACCACAU
Molecule: transfer RNA, 72 nt
Filed under: Ictidomys tridecemlineatus (thirteen-lined ground squirrel)
Lineage: Eukaryota; Metazoa; Chordata; Mammalia; Rodentia; Sciuridae
Description: Spermophilus tridecemlineatus (thirteen-lined ground squirrel) tRNA
Rfam family: tRNA
About the family: Transfer RNA (tRNA) molecules are approximately 80 nucleotides in length. Their secondary structure includes four short double-helical elements and three loops (D, anti-codon, and T loops). Further hydrogen bonds mediate the characteristic L-shaped molecular structure. tRNAs have two regions of fundamental functional importance: the anti-codon, which is responsible for specific mRNA codon recognition, and the 3' end, to which the tRNAs corresponding amino acid is attached (by aminoacyl-tRNA synthetases). tRNAs cope with the degeneracy of the genetic code in two manners: having more than one tRNA (with a specific anti-codon) for a particular amino acid; and 'wobble' base-pairing, i.e. permitting non-standard base-pairing at the 3rd anti-codon position.
Source: Rfam by way of RNAcentral